AUGGGUUUGGUCCAGGUCUACAGUAUAUCUCAAUGGGUUUGGUCCAGGUCUAUAGUAUAUCUCAAUGGGUUUGGUCCAGGUCUAUAUCUCAAUGGGUUUGGUCCAGGUCUACAGUAUAUCUCAAUGGGUUUGGUCCAGGUCUAUAUCUCAAUGGGUUUGGUCCAGGUCUAUAUCUCAAUGGGUUUGGUCCAGGUCUACAGUAUAUCUCAAUGGGUUUGGUCCAGGUCUACAGUAUAUCUCAAUGGGUUUGGUCCAGGUCUACAGUAUAUCUCAAUGGGUUUGGUCCAGGUCUAUAGUAUAUCUCAAUGGGUUUGGUCCAAGUCUAUAUCUCAAUGGGUUUGGUCCAGGUCUACAGUAUAUCUCAAUGGGUUUGGUCCAGGUCUACAGUAUAUCUCAAUGGGUUUGGUCCAGGUCUAUAGUAUAUCUCAAUGGGUUUGGUCCAGGUCUAUAUCUCAAUGGGUUUGGUCCAGGUCUACAGUAUAUCUCAAUGGGUUUGGUCCAGGUCUACAGUAUAUCUCAAUGGGUUUUGGUCCAG
This is a long non-coding RNA of Oncorhynchus tshawytscha (Chinook salmon), 535 nucleotides long. The record is from Ensembl. NCBI's taxonomy places the organism in Eukaryota, Metazoa, Chordata, Actinopteri, Salmoniformes, Salmonidae.